GUAGAAAUUAUCCCUUUGAAAUAUUCCUGGACACCAUCACGAGUAGAGUGUGACCUACAAAUAACCGAGUUUGCACUUACACAAGCAACAGAAUGGAUGCCAAAAUUUUUGGAGGAUUCACUUAAACCAUUAUGUAGCCCAUGGAAUGACUCCCGAUUGGUGGGGUUCGUGUUGCUUAGUGUUUAGUUUUCUAUUUUGCGAUUUGUGUACUG
This 212-nucleotide long non-coding RNA is filed under the name Mytilus galloprovincialis (Mediterranean mussel). Lineage: Eukaryota; Metazoa; Mollusca; Bivalvia; Mytilida; Mytilidae. The record is from RNAcentral.